Molecule: ribosomal RNA, 434 nt
Filed under: uncultured Oscillospiraceae bacterium
Lineage: Bacteria; Bacillati; Bacillota; Clostridia; Eubacteriales; Oscillospiraceae
Description: bacterial SSU rRNA
Rfam family: Bacterial small subunit ribosomal RNA
Source: RNAcentral
ACGGAAGGCAGCAGUGGGGGAUAUUGCACAAUGGAGGAAACUCUGAUGCAGCAACGCCGCGUGAAGGAAGAAGGCCUUCGGGUUGUAAACUUCUGUCCUUGGUGACGAUAAUGACGGUAGCCAGGGAGGAAGCCACGGCUAACUACGUGCCAGCAGCCGCGGUAAUACGUAGGUGGCAAGCGUUGUCCGGAAUUACUGGGUGUAAAGGGUGCGUAGGCGGCUCAUAAAGUCAGAUGUGAAAUAUCGAGGCUCAACCUCGGAGCUGCAUUUGAAACUGAUGGUCUUGAGUGAAGUAGAGGUAAGCGGAAUUCCUAGUGUAGCGGUGAAAUGCGUAGAUAUUAGGAGGAACACCAGUGGCGAAGGCGGCUUACUGGGCUUUAACUGACGCUGAGGCACGAAAGCAUGGGUAGCAAACAGGAUUAGAUACCCUGGUA